This 465-nucleotide ribosomal RNA is filed under the name uncultured bacterium. RNAcentral's name for it is "partial 16S ribosomal RNA". It matches the Rfam family "Bacterial small subunit ribosomal RNA", at positions 28 to 507 of the family's 1533-position model. The record is from RNAcentral.
GACGAACGCUGGCGGCGUGCUUAACACAUGCAAGUCGUACGGUAAGGCCCUUUCGGGGGUACACGAGUGGCGAACGGGUGAGUAACACGUGAGUAACCUGCCCACAACUUUGGGAUAACGCUAGGAAACUGGUGCUAAUACUGGAUAUGUGCUCCUGCUGCAUGGUGGGGGUUGGAAAGCUCCGGCGGUUGUGGAUGGACUCGCGGCCUAUCAGCUUGUUGGUGGGGUAGUGGCCUACCAAGGCGGCGACGGGUAGCCGGCCUGAGAGGGUGACCGGCCACAUUGGGACUGAAAUACGGCCCAGACUCCUACGGGAGGCAGCAGUGGGGAAUAUUGCACAAUGGGCGCAAGCCUGAUGCAGCAACGCCGCGUGCGGGAUGACGGCCUUCGGGUUGUAAACCGCUUUCAGCAGGGACGAAGCUUUUUGUGACGGUACCUGCAGAAGAAGCACCGGCUAACUACGUG